CUUGGAAUUUAACCUUCAAAAAUUGGAUUAAAAUUGAAGCCUGAAUCUCGUUGCACACACUAAGAGGUUAAGAUUUUCAUUGGAAUAAUUACAGUCGUCGGAAAGUUUUUCUAAACGGCACUCCUUAACAAUCUUGGUAAACGGUUUCGACUGUACACAGAGAAAUGACGACUUGACGUAACGGUUCGGUUGUACGCGAUUUACAUAUUUAUCAGCAACUUUUGUCUUCCUGUCCCCCACCCCCGUCCCAGGGUCCGAAGAGUUAGCGAAAAACUUAUCCGUUCCUCGACGACUUUUGCCAGACGGAACAGAAAGAAAGAAAAAAAAAAGAAAGAAAGAAGAAGAAGAGAAGAAAAGUGAAACCAUAACUGGAAAUCUAGAAUCGGCCACUGAUGCAAUCGGUGUUUGCUAAUACGGGCAAUGUUAUAGCUGUGUAAGCAAUGAUGUCAGCCGAUAUAACUUUUCUCGAAAUUAUCGACCGAGCGUUGUUUCUUCCCCCUCCACUCUCAUUUUACGCUUGAGAUGAUUAACCGAACGAAAUUACGUAUAUGUAUACGAGGAGAUAUCUCGAAACUUUUUAAAUAUAUUAUUAAAUAUAUUUUACAAGGUAUACGUUUCGUAAACUGAAUUUCCAUCGAAUUGUUGUUGCAUUGAUUAAAAAGUUCGACGACACUGGUAUUUCUUUUCAAUUCGAGUCACGAGUCUCGAAACUUCCGUUUUUUGAAUCACGCGUUCAAGCAAAAGUUCGAGUGUCGAUGUAAUAGCGAGGAAUAAAGUUACGUUUCUUUUUUUUUUUUUUUUUUGUUCUGCCCCGAUUUACGGCUUAACAAUUACGAUGAUCGACCUACAUCGAGCGGAUGCAACGAAGCGUCGUCGUCCAAGGAGGAGAAGGAGGGGGAGGAAUGGAAACUUUUGCGGAAAACGAGAUGUUGCUCGAUAAUCUUCGGCGAGCAUAGGCCAAACUUUUGCUGGAAGGAGGGCGCUGGUGAGCACGUGGAAAGAGAUGAAACGAGAGAUAAAUCUUCUCUUUCUUCGUUAAAAGAAAGAAAAAGAAGAAAAAAUUCCUUCGAAAAUUCGAUCUCAUCCUAUUUAAAGAAAAAAUGACUCAGAUUUUUAUUAUUUAUAAAGAGACAUUGCUCAAAUAAAAAGGUGAUAGAGUAAGAUUGGCACAGUUAUCGAAAAGUUUCACGAGAUUAUAGAAUCCCGGUUACAACGCGAUGAAAGUUGGCGAAAAAUUAUAGGACGCGAAGGAAUAUCCGUUGCUGGUUAGGUUGUCGAGUCUUUUAUAUUUCGCAUGUAUAUACGGGCGUUAUAUGUGGGUCAGUGGACACAACGAGUUACAAUUGCAAGGAUAAAAGUUAUUCCGGUAUCAGAUCAAGGAUCAAGAUUUAUUGCUUCGAAGAAAAGAUACGAAGAUUGAGGUGGCAAUUUUGAAAGAAGGAGGAAUAAUUAAUAAAUAUUCGAUAAUCGUUCGUUCGAUCGAUUGUUGGGGAAGAUAAGUCGGAAUGAAAGGGUUGGAAAGGAGAGAUUGACACGACUGACUAGCGAUCCGAACGGAACAGUGUAAUUAGUUGGGAACACGGUACGUAUUCAGGAAGCGGUUUAAAAACUGGGAGAAAAGUGUGUGUGUGUGUGUGUGUGUGUGUGUGAGGAAACGACGUGGGAAAUAAAAGUCGUUUUGCUGGAGAAGGGAGAGACGAUUGUGAUCGUUGAAACGAGUGGAAGAGGAAUAUUUUCGAUUUUUUUCCGUGAUAAAUUUGCAAUUGAAUGCAGAAGGGACUUGGCUAGGAUUAGAUUUUCUCCCCAGCGAUCGAAUUUGAAAUGGCAGAUUGGAUUUUUUGAAUUCUUGAAAUUUGUAAAGUAAAAUUUCAUCGUUCUCGAAUUUUUUUUUUUAAAUCUUUCGCAAUAAUUUUCCAUUCCAUUUCUCGAUUCGCGAAAACAAGUAAUAAAUAAUAAUUAUCUCGGAUAGAAAUCGAAAAAAAAUUUGAAUAGACAAAUAUUCGUUUUUUCACAACUCUCCUAUCUCUUCCCAACCAUCUUUAAAAUUACUUCACGCUUACUAUUGAGCAAUAGUAAUAAUAAUAAUAAUAAGCAAAUCAGACAAAGAAAGAACAAAUUUCUGGAUCUUUUUUUCAAUCCAUUUUCGAAAGGAAAUUUACAUCUCGUUAAUUUUACAAUUGCCUCUUCCAAUCAAGAUAAUUCGUCGCGAUAAAAAUAUAAUAUCUUCCAAGAUCUCUAUCUUUUUGCACAAAAGCGAGACACGGAGUCUCUUUGUUCCCCGAGGAAAAUUUCCUCUUAAUUGGAUAAUUCCACAUUUUUUCCACGUUUAAUCUAAAUAGAACAGGACGCCCUCUUUAAGAUAAAUAUUUCAUAAACGUUAUUUCAUUAAACAACGUAAUCCUCCUUCCUUUUAAUAAUCUCGUUUAAACAUUUCCCUCCCCCAUUCGAAAUUCGAGAAAGAAAUAUCUUUAGACUCCUCAACGAAUUUUCAAAUUUUCAAAUCUCGUGAU
This is a long non-coding RNA of Apis mellifera (honey bee), 2510 nucleotides long. RefSeq lists it as uncharacterized. NCBI's taxonomy places the organism in Eukaryota, Metazoa, Arthropoda, Insecta, Hymenoptera, Apidae. The transcript has 3 exons. The record is from RefSeq and is a predicted model, not a curated record.